CUAAGCUCCUCGCUGCAAUUAUCUUCUCUGUUUACAGAGGCAGGCUGCGGUGAAUCAUUUCAUUUACAGUAAGCUUCGGAGUGUGAGAGUCAAGAGGGAGGCAACAAUGUGAUCCAGAGGGAGGACUACCUGUUCCCUCAUGACAGUACAACAGGGACAUGCUGUGGAUAGCUGGUCCUCUGCACCCUGCAAGUCUAUGAGCUCAGUGUAAAGCCGAACAGCUGGAGUACCAAAGAUCUGCAGUUUCCUUGGUGACAUCACGGCACACAGAAGGCCGGCCACGUACUGGGCCAAUAAAUGGAAAUUCCUGAAGAAAUCAAAGGCAGAACCUGCAUCCUGGAUACAAUGAUCCAACGAGGAAGUAGCAGGAUCAUUUCUGAUUGAGGCCAAGUUGGAUGUUUAAUGCAACCCUGAUUUCCAGUUCAAAGAUAACGCAAACUGCGACAAAUAACCGAUUGUUUUCUGUUUUGAGGUGGAGUAAACAACUAGCUUUGGGACGUAUUCCAACAGUUCUUUGGAUUGGAUAUCAUUUUUAUUAUACUUUGGAUUUUGUUGGAGUUUUACUAUGCAGACAACGGACCACCCAACAGCAGCAAUAAAUGUUCAGUUCAAGGCCCCACGCUACGUCGCAGUGGAGGUGGAGACAAAAGCGUGUGGGAGGACGCUCCCAAUGCACAUAGGAAAUCAAGUUUCCAUUGAUUGAUUCUUAAUGUGAAUUUAUUGCGCAUAAUGUGGACUUGAGGGAAAAUCUGACAAAUUGUGGAGGAAAACGCUCAGAGAAAAAGGCCAACAAUCGACAGGUUCACUCCUCUGUGAACAAGCAGUUGAGUUAAACAAUGACAAAAAGGGCCUACGAUAAUAUGAAUAAUCUGUAAAACACAAUGGAACUGCGUUUGGCAGAAAGGACACUUGGUUCUUUCCCAAUGUCAUACUGUGUAUGUUUAACAGUGUACUAUUUAGUCAUACUUUACUUGAGCUAAAGCUGUACGACAAAAGUAGCUCAGGUACAGUAGUAUUAAUGGUAACCAGCAAGAGUUAGACAUCACAGAAUAGCUUGCUUGCAAUAGUUGCUGAACUCCUAAUAUCAUUCUAAUAUCAUAGACUAGUAAACCUCAUUGAGUCAAGAAAAGCCAAUAGUAACCUGCUGAUGUCUGAUUCACAUUCAUAAAACCUUGAUCACAUGUACAUUGCCAUUUAUUAAAAAAUAUGAUCAACAAGGAGCAAAAAUAUAAGAAAAAAGCAGUGUCAUUCAGCAAUGCAAUGAUUUACUUUACCUUGCUUUACUUUUAUAGACAAAUAGAAAGCUACGGAGCUUUCUCAACUAUAAACAAAUGUUUGUCAGUACAAAAAAUGCUUUUUACAUUUUAUAUGCACUUAAUCAGUCUGUACCUUAGAGGAACAAAGCUGCAAAAUUAACACAGCUACUCAAAGUGUAACGUAAAGGCUAAAUAUGGCUGUCAGUCUUCUCAGAGAUGCUGGGAUUUGUUUUCUGUUAGUGUACUGAUACCUUGAGUAGAGUGUGAUACGAGGCCUUGUUUAACCUGUUUAAAUAUCAGAACCGUAUUAUUGUCACUACCAGUUUAAUUUCAGGGAGAUUAACACUCUUAGUUAUCACCUAAUACAAAGAGUCCAUUCAUGUGCUAUCAAAGCACUGAAUCACUUUCUUAUUUCCUUUCAUCCCUUCUGUUUGAUUCCUACUCUCAAAAAACAAAACCUUGGUUGAGUGCCAAAACGUAAAUUAGGAUCUUCAUUAGAACCAUCAAAUCUAAAUUACUAUUCAAUUAACAGGCCAGUCAACCUCAACUAAUCAACCAAUUAG
Molecule: long non-coding RNA, 1819 nt
Organism: Gasterosteus aculeatus aculeatus (three-spined stickleback)
Lineage: Eukaryota; Metazoa; Chordata; Actinopteri; Perciformes; Gasterosteidae
Source: Ensembl